UGAUCCCUACGGGGCGCAGCAGUCGGGAAUAUUGCGCAAUGGAGGAAACUCUGACGCAGUGACGCCGCGUAUAGGAAGAAGGUUUUCGGAUUGUAAACUAUUGUCGUUAGGGAAGAUAAAAGACUGUACCUAAGGAGGAAGCCCCGGCUAACUAUGUGCCAGCAGCCGCGGUAAUACAUAGGGGGCAAGCGUUAUCCGGAAUUAUUGGGUGUAAAGGGUGCGGAGACGGAGAAACAAG
RNAcentral lists this ribosomal RNA (238 nucleotides) under uncultured bacterium. RNAcentral describes it as "partial 16S ribosomal RNA". It matches the Rfam family "Bacterial small subunit ribosomal RNA", at positions 333 to 587 of the family's 1533-position model. The record is from RNAcentral.